This 1470-nucleotide long non-coding RNA is filed under the name Pan paniscus (pygmy chimpanzee). Its description in RNAcentral is "lncRNA (ENSPPAG00000045612.1)". Lineage: Eukaryota; Metazoa; Chordata; Mammalia; Primates; Hominidae. The record is from RNAcentral.
GAACUCCCUCUGUAGUAGCACCAGACACAGUGCAGUGACACACUGUGAACCAGAAAGAUCUUGAAGAUGGUUUCAUCAGAGUGGGUCCUAGGCUCUAAGGAGAUAAUAGCUGUAAAGUGCUUGAACAUGUGUAAACAUGCAACAGGUAUAACAAAGGUCAGAAUCCUUAUUAUCUGGAGGGAAGAUGGAGACCCGUAUACUCCAGGAAUGGAUGGCUCCAGAGCGGGGGUGAAUGUUGCCAUGACACCCUAACAUCUACCAGAAUCAGCACCCUAAAAGAUAAACCAGAUGAAAGACAGUGCAGUGGCAGAAGCAGAAGGAGCCUCAGCCUCCUCAUUCUCCUCUGGCUGCAUGAUUUGAAGCCCGUUGAAAGGACUCCCGGCUGACCCUUCUGUCCUUGAAUGCUCCACAUGCCAUGCAUUUCAUAAACAGUCAGGACCAGCCAAUUGUUUUAAUUUCUGCCAGGCCUUUCCUGCCGCCACGUUGAAAUGCUCUGUUCCAUGUCCCUCCACCUGGCGGUAACUGGACAUUCCAUUGCACUCCGUUUUUUGCACACGGGGCUGCCCAGCUUGGGAAUACUGCACUGUCCUCCAUGGGGAGGGAGGCCCAGCACCUGGGCACUGCUGAUGAGUUUUCACUCAUAUUUAAUAUGAGACUUGGGGCGCCCUAAGGAGGAAGAAGCUGCCUUGAGAUCCCCCUCAUAAGCUCUCUGAUGAGUGGCUGCCUUUCCCUGAGCUCCUUGGAUGAAAACUGUCAGGGGAGAUUUCCUGGCUGAAAUCCUUUACUCCCUCCACGACUGUGGCCCAGACACUCCCACACCCUCUCAGCAACCCUGACAUCGUUUUCUUCCCAACCCAGUAUUGCACUUGCUAGCCAUGGACUUCAGGGUAAUCUCACCCCUCUGAGCCUUGGCACCCUCAUCUCUAAAUCGCGGAUAUCAACACCUACUAUUCAGCCCGUCCACAUCCGUGUAGGUAUUCCAGUUGCUACAGUAUUCAAAUACAUCCAUACUGAUUGGUGAAAAGCCAGGACUCUAAGCCCCUGGGUUUCCCUCACCCCAAACACUCCAGCUUCCCCCUCUGAGGCCCACAGACAUCCACAGAAUCAGCAGCCUACAGGUCAUGCCUGACCCGGGAGGAACCUGCAGACCCAGUUCUAGUGCUAUAACCAAGGUCAGUUCUGACAUGUUGGUGUCUGGGCCUUACUGGUUGUUAAAUAUUGUAGUCUUAUCCUUGACCAUGGUGAUGCAAGAUUACGUACAUGAGGCACCCAGCACUUCAGUUCCUGGAACACCAGAGGAAGAAUAACUUUCAUAAUCCUCGUACUUCACAGCAUGGGGCCUCCCAUGUUUGUUUUCCUGUUAAAGUCCGGCUACAAUUUAUCCUCCUUCACCUUUCCAUUUCACCCCUUGUUUUGUUUACUGAGAGCUGAGAUAUUGAGGUUGGGACCUGGUUUGUGUGUGCUUUCUAA